GUCCAGGAGCGGGAAUCGAACCCACAACGUUCCGCUUACCGGGCAGAUGCCAUGUCCACUAGGCUACCCUGGA
This 73-nucleotide transfer RNA is filed under the name Cordylochernes scorpioides. RNAcentral describes it as "tRNA-Thr". Lineage: Eukaryota; Metazoa; Arthropoda; Arachnida; Pseudoscorpiones; Chernetidae. The record is from RNAcentral.